UACGGAGGGGGCUAGCGUUGUUCGGAAUUACUGGGCGUAAAGCGCACGUAGGCGGCUUUGUAAGUUAGAGGUGAAAGCCCGGGGCUCAACUCCGGAACUGCCUUUAAGACUGCAUCGCUUGAAUCAUGGAGAGGUCAGUGGAAUUCCGAGUGUAGAGGUGAAAUUCGUAGAUAUUCGGAAGAACACCAGUGGCGAAGGCGGCUCACUGGACUGGUAUUGACGCUGAGGUGCGAAAGCGUGGGGAGCAAACAGG
RNAcentral lists this ribosomal RNA (253 nucleotides) under uncultured bacterium. Its description in RNAcentral is "partial 16S ribosomal RNA". It matches the Rfam family "Bacterial small subunit ribosomal RNA", at positions 524 to 776 of the family's 1533-position model. The record is from RNAcentral.